This 460-nucleotide ribosomal RNA is filed under the name uncultured bacterium. RNAcentral describes it as "partial 16S ribosomal RNA". It matches the Rfam family "Bacterial small subunit ribosomal RNA", at positions 338 to 795 of the family's 1533-position model. The record is from RNAcentral.
CCUACGGGGUGCUGCAGUGAGGAAUAUUGGUCAAUGGACGCAAGUCUGAACCAGCCAUGCCGCGUGCAGGAAGACGGCUCUAUGAGUUGUAAACUGCUUUUGUACGAGGGUAAACGCAGAUACGCGUAUCUGUCUGAAAGUAUCGUACGAAUAAGGAUCGGCUAACUCCGUGCCAGCAGCCGCGGUAAUACGGAGGAUUCAAGCGUUAUCCGGAUUUAUUGGGUUUAAAGGGUGCGUAGGCGGUCGGAUAAGUUAGAGGUGAAAUCCCGAGGCUCAACUUCGGAAUUGCCUCUGAUACUGUUCGGCUAGAGAGUAGUUGCGGUAGGCGGAAUGUAUGGUGUAGCGGUGAAAUGCUUAGAGAUCAUACAGAACACCGAUUGCGAAGGCAGCUUACCAAGCUACUUCUGACGUUGAGGCACGAAGGCGUGGGGAGCGAACAGGAUUAGAUACCCGUGUAGUC